AUAAUACUCCAUAGAUUAGAGAUACUGGAAUGUUCUUUAGUCAAAAGUUCUGGCGCCUUAGGAUGGAUCUGCGGUCGAUUAGGUUUGUUGUUGGGGUAACGGCCCAACAAGCCUGUAAUCGAUACGGGUUGUGGGAGCAAUAGCCCGGAGAUGGAAUCUGAGACAAGAUUCCAGGCCCUACGGGGCGCAGCAGGCGCGAAAACUUUACAAUGCAGGAAACUGUGAUAAGGGAACCCCGAGUGCCCGUAUACGCGGGCUGUCCAGGUGUUUAAAAGUCAUCUGAAGAAAGGGCCGGGCAAGACCGGUGCCAGCCGCCGCGGUAAUACCGGCGGCUCGAGUGGUGGCCACUAUUAUUGGGCUUAAAGCGUCCGUAGCUGGACUGAUAAGUCUCUUGGGAAAUCCGCCGGCUCAACCGGCGGGCGUCUAAGGGAUACUGUUGGUCUAGGGACCGGGAGAGGUGAGAGGUACUCCGGGGGUAGGAGUGAAAUCCUGUAAUCCCCGGGGGACCACCGAUGGCGAAGGCAUCUCACCAGAACGGCUCCGACAGUGAGGGACGAAAGCUGGGGGAGCAAACCGGAUUAGAUACCCGGGUAGUCCCAGCCGUAAACUAUGCGCGUUAGGUGU
RNAcentral lists this ribosomal RNA (624 nucleotides) under uncultured archaeon. RNAcentral describes it as "bacterial SSU rRNA". It matches the Rfam family "Archaeal small subunit ribosomal RNA", at positions 146 to 774 of the family's 1478-position model. The record is from RNAcentral.